Molecule: ribosomal RNA, 515 nt
Filed under: uncultured bacterium
Lineage: Bacteria
Description: partial 16S ribosomal RNA
Rfam family: Bacterial small subunit ribosomal RNA
Source: RNAcentral
GAUGAACGCUGGCGGCGUGCCUAAUACAUGCAAGUCGAGCGAAUGGAUUAAGAGCUUGCUCUUAUGAAGUUAGCGGCGGACGGGUGAGUAACACGUGGGUAACCUGCCCAUAAGACUGGGAUAACUCCGGGAAACCGGGGCUAAUACCGGAUAACAUUUUGAACCGCAUGGUUCGACAUUGAAAGGCGGCUUCGGCUGUCACUUAUGGAUGGACCCGCGUCGCAUUAGCUAGUUGGUGAGGUAACGGCUCACCAUGGCAACGAUGCGUAGCCGACCUGAGAGGGUGAUCGGCCACACUGGGACUGAGACACGGCCCAGACUCCUACGGGAGGCAGCAGUAGGGAAUCUUCCGCAAUGGACGAAAGUCUGACGGAGCAACGCCGCGUGAGUGAUGAAGGCUUUCGGGUCGUAAAACUCUGUUGUUAGGGAAGAACAAGUGCUAGUUGAAUAAGCUGGCACCUUGACGGUACCUAACCAGAAAGCCACGGCUAACUACGUGCCAGCCGCCGCCGCAA